RNAcentral lists this ribosomal RNA (443 nucleotides) under uncultured bacterium. Its description in RNAcentral is "partial 16S ribosomal RNA". It matches the Rfam family "Bacterial small subunit ribosomal RNA", at positions 338 to 795 of the family's 1533-position model. The record is from RNAcentral.
CCUACGGGAGGCAGCAGUGGGGAAUAUUGGGCAAUGGGCGCAAGCCUGAACCAGCAACGCCGCGUGAAGGAAGAAGGCUUUCGGGUUGUAAACUUCUUUUCUCAGGGACGAAGCAAGUGACGGUACCUGAGGAAUAAGCCACGGCUAACUACGUGCCAGCAGCCGCGGGAAUCCGUGGGUGGCAAUCGUUAUGCGGAUUUACUGGGUGUAAAGGGUGUGUAGGCGGGGACGGAAGUCAGAUGUGAAAACCACGGGCUCAACCUGUGCCCUGCAUUUGAAACUGUGUUUCUUGGGUACUGGAGAGGCAGACGGAAUUCAUGGUGUAGCGGUGAAAUGCGUAGAGAUUAGGAGGAACACCAGUGGCGAAGGCGGUCUGCUGGACAGCAACUGACGCUGAGGCGCGAAAGCGUGGGGAGCAAACAGGAGUAGAUACCCUAGUAGUC